CAUGCUCUACUGACUGAGCCAGCCAGGAAUCAUCCAGGAUGAUGGUGGGACUAGAAGUGACCUAUGAGCCAGAUGCAAGGAUCCUUAAUAAACAUGGCUGGACCGGGAGACUUCCAGCCAUCUUAACUGACCUCUCUGGAAGGUGGCCAGAGCCCACAAGGAAACAAAGAACGCCUGUGGGAGUUCGAAAGAACUAUCCCAAAGACCUUGGACUUUACCCUGUUGGAGAAGCGUCAGGAGAGGCAGUCAGAUUCUAACUUUAAUCGGUAACCUUCUUUUGUACACCAUUCUAAUAGACUUCAUUAUCUGGCUUGCUGGCCCACAGCAAAUUCGAUGAGAGGCUACUAGCGGCAGGUCCACUAAGAGCCGAGUGAAAUAGUGGCCGAAAGUUUGAAUUCAAGGGAGGAGGAGAAUCUUAAAAGAUGUAUAUAAAAACUGAGAAAAGCUCAGCCGUCUGAGACCACUGAGUG
Callorhinus ursinus (northern fur seal) is the source of this 470-nucleotide non-coding RNA. The record is from RefSeq and is a predicted model, not a curated record. NCBI's taxonomy places the organism in Eukaryota, Metazoa, Chordata, Mammalia, Carnivora, Otariidae.